UAGGAGUUAGUUGAAGAUGUAAGAAAGCUUGAAGAUGAGAAUGAGGACCUGGACAACAAGUAUUACGCUGAAGAUUAUGCCAGCCAUAUCAAGAUCUGUGGUUUGAGGGCGACCCAUAAAGCUGAAUUAACAAAUCUCAAAGAACAAGUGACGCUUCUGUACCAAGAGGCUGUAAGAUCAGAGGACAGUUCUUUGUCAAUGGAAGCUUCAUACCUGUCUAAAAUCGAGCAGAUCCAAGAGGAGCUGGACAAUGUACAGCUUGUUUCUGCUCAGAAGCUUCUGCUGGAGCACAAAGAUGCGG
Molecule: long non-coding RNA, 301 nt
Organism: Amblyraja radiata (thorny skate)
Lineage: Eukaryota; Metazoa; Chordata; Chondrichthyes; Rajiformes; Rajidae
Exons: 3
Source: RefSeq, a predicted model, not a curated record